This 681-nucleotide long non-coding RNA is filed under the name Callithrix jacchus (white-tufted-ear marmoset). RNAcentral describes it as "lncRNA (ENSCJAG00000081227.1)". The record is from RNAcentral. Lineage: Eukaryota; Metazoa; Chordata; Mammalia; Primates; Cebidae.
AUGCUGAAGCCUAUGAAGGAGGCUGGAAAUGGCAGGGAAGCCACAGCUUUGUUCUCAUUUAAACCUGAAUGGCCAUUGACUUCUUUUGAAAAAGAAAAAAAUGAUGCAGGGGGAAGCUGGCAGUUCCUCAGGAAACAUACAUUAUUGAGAAGGGAGUUUCGGCACAAUAUGCAAAAGCGUCUCCUGUGAUCGCUGUACACACUGGAGGUGUGCUUUCCUCAAGCCCACGAAGGACUGUGCUCUCUAGUCUUCCCUCUCUCUGUUUUUUCCCGAGUACUACUGUGUCAUUUAAGUUCAUUUAUUUUUGUCUUAUCUUCUCCCUUUGAACUUGAAACCUUGUCCUGUUCUUGUUCCAUAGUCUGAUGCCUGCUGCUUUGUUCCUUCACCUUUGUCUUCACAAAGUCUUAGGCUAGCCUUCUCUAUUUCUCAACUUUGUCAUGCCCCUGACAUUGCAAGACUCUCUUUCCUGGCAACCACUGUCUACAGACAAAAUAUUAAUAACUUGGGAGGAGUUAGGACAGAAACACUAAAAUUAUUAUAAAUAAAACCAGAUAGUCCUUAUGACUGGGGCCUGGACUACCGCUUGUCUUCUUAUGAGUAUCUUUUGAAAGGCUGUCCUCACACGCAUUAACUUGAGGAUUUACAGUAAUGUUCUUUUGGGCUGAAGCGAAAAGGAGACAG